This 472-nucleotide ribosomal RNA is filed under the name uncultured bacterium. RNAcentral describes it as "SSU rRNA". It matches the Rfam family "Bacterial small subunit ribosomal RNA", at positions 26 to 518 of the family's 1533-position model. The record is from RNAcentral.
AGGACGAACGCUGGCGGCGCGCCUAACACAUGCAAGUCGAGCGAGAACCAGGGCUUGCCCUGGGGACAGCGGCGAACGGGUGCGUAACACGUGAGCAACCUGCCCCAAAGACCGGGACAACCCGAGGAAACUCGGACUAAUACCGGAUGCCCUCACCGGGCCGCAUGGUCUGGUGAGGAAAUGGAUUCCGCUUUGGGAUGGGCUCGCGGUCUAUCAGCUUGUUGGUGGGGUAACGCCUACCAAGGCGACGACGGAUAGCUGGUCUGAGAGGACGAUCAGCCACACUGGGACUGAGACACGGCCCAGACUCCUACGGGAGGCAGCAGUGGGGAAUCUUGCGCAAUGGGGGAAACCCUGACGCAGCGACGCCGCGUGCGGGAUGAAGGCCUUCGGGUUGUAAACCGCUUUCAGCAGGGACGAAAUUGACGGUACCUGCAGAAGAAGGCCCGGCCAACUACGUGCCAGCAGCCGC